AUGACCCUUUAGCACAUCCAAUAAAAUUAGAACGAUACAGAGAAGACUAAUAUGGUCCCGCGCUAGGAUGACAAAUAUAAAUCGAGAAAUGAUACUAAUUUUU
This 103-nucleotide small nuclear RNA is filed under the name Prunus persica (peach). The record is from RNAcentral. Lineage: Eukaryota; Viridiplantae; Streptophyta; Magnoliopsida; Rosales; Rosaceae.